GAUGAACGCUGGCGGCGUGCCUAAUACAUGCAAGUCGAGCGAACAGACGAGGAGCUUGCUCCUCUGACGUUAGCGGCGGACGGGUGAGUAACACGUGGAUAACCUACCUAUAAGACUGGGAUAACUUCGGGAAACCGGAGCUAAUACCGGAUAACAUUUUGAACCGCAUGGUUCAACAGUGAAAGACGGUCUUGCUGUCACUUAUAGAUGGAUCCGCGCCGCAUUAGCUAGUUGGUAAGGUAACGGCUUACCAAGGCAACGAUGCGUAGCCGACCUGAGAGGGUGAUCGGCCACACUGGAACUGAGACACGGUCCAGACUCCGACGGGAGGCAGCAGUAGGGAAUCUUCCGCAAUGGGCGAAAUCCUGACGGAGCAACGCCGCGUGAGUGAAGAAGGUCUUCGGAUCGUAAAACUCUGUUAUUAGGGAAGAACAAAUGUGUAAGUAACUAUGCACGUCUUGACGGUACCUAAUCAGAAAGCCACGGCUAACUACGUG
This 497-nucleotide ribosomal RNA is filed under the name uncultured bacterium. RNAcentral's name for it is "partial 16S ribosomal RNA". It matches the Rfam family "Bacterial small subunit ribosomal RNA", at positions 28 to 507 of the family's 1533-position model. The record is from RNAcentral.